CGCAGGUAAACAAACAAGCAUGGUGACAGCUGUUGACCGCGUUCGAGUUUGAUCGGUUCCUGGUGCUCCUGCCUUGCUCCCCGUCCUCCCACUUCGCUCUCUGUCUUCUUUACCAUCUCCUACCCUCUAUCUCCCGCUGAGAUCCGCGAUGGGUCGGCCCCCGCACGGCGGCGGACCCGUCUUCCGAUUCACUCAGAACGAGAUAAAGGAAGACGACGAGGAGGUGCGGAUGAUGUGUGAUGCCCGGACUAUGGAAGUCUUGGGACUAGAAAGGAGUUCCUUUAGUCUUCUUUCCAUAUUCUUUUUUUUAGUUCCGCAUUUUAGUUAUUGUAAACAUUUGAGACUGUACUUUACACUCUGUGUCAUUCAAGUUUAUUCUUGUUCUAGGUUGCAUGUAGGAUGAGUUCAGUUUAGUAAGUAGAUAUUUGUGUGUUUGAUACU
This is a long non-coding RNA of Zingiber officinale, 441 nucleotides long. RefSeq lists it as uncharacterized. The record is from RefSeq and is a predicted model, not a curated record. Lineage: Eukaryota; Viridiplantae; Streptophyta; Magnoliopsida; Zingiberales; Zingiberaceae. The transcript has 2 exons.